CCUACGGGCGGCAGCAGUGAGGAAUAUUGGUCAAUGGCCGAGAGCCUGAACCAGCCAAGUCGCGUGAAGGAAGACGGCCCUACGGGUUGUAAACCUCUUUUGUAAAGGAACAAAGCGAGUCACGUGUGCCUCUUUGUAUGUACCCUAUGAAAAAGGAUCGGCUAACUCCGUGCCAGCAGCCGCGGUAAUACGGAGGAUCCGAGCGUUAUCCGGAUUUAUUGGGUUUAAAGGGAGCGUAGGCGGGUUGAUAAGUUAGUGGUGAAAGCCUGAGGCUAAACGUCGAAAUUGCAUUUGAUACUGGUCGGCUUGAGAAUAGUUGAGGUAGGCGGAAUGUGUGGUGUAGCGGUGAAAUGCUUAGAGAUCAUGAAGAACACCGAUUGCGAAGGCAGCUUACUAAGCUACUUCUGACGUUGAUGCACGAAAGUGUGGGGAGCAAACAGGAUUAGAUACCCGGGUAGUC
This 460-nucleotide ribosomal RNA is filed under the name uncultured bacterium. RNAcentral's name for it is "partial 16S ribosomal RNA". It matches the Rfam family "Bacterial small subunit ribosomal RNA", at positions 338 to 795 of the family's 1533-position model. The record is from RNAcentral.